GGUUAAGCGACUAAGCGUACACGGUGGAUGCCCUGGCAGUCAGAGGCGAUGAAGGACGUGCUAAUCUGCGAAAAGCGUCGGUAAGGUGAUAUGAACCGUUACAGCCGGCGAUGUCCGAAUGGGGAAACCCAGUGCAAUUCGUUGCACUAUCGUUAACUGAAUACAUAGGUUAACGAGGCGAACCGGGGGAACUGAAACAUCUAAGUACCCCGAGGAAAAGAAAUCAACCGAGAUUCCCCCAGUAGCGGCGAGCGAACGGGGAGCAGCCCAGAGUCUGAAUCAGCUUGUGUGUUAGUGGAACGGUCUGGAAAGUCCGACGGUACAGGGUGAUAGUCCCGUACACCAAAAUGCACAGGCUGUGAACUCGAAGAGUAGGGCGGGACACGUGGUAUCCUGUCUGAAUAUGGGGGGACCAUCCUCCAAGGCUAAAUACUCCUGACUGACCGAUAGUGAACCAGUACCGUGAGGGAAAGGCGAAAAGAACCCCGGCGAGGGGAGUGAAAAAGAACCUGAAACCGUGUACGUACAAGCAGUGGGAGCACCUUCGGGUGUGACUGCGUACCUUUUGUAUAAUGGGUCAGCGACUUAUAUUCUGUAGCAAGGUUAACCGUAUAGGGGAGCCGCAGGGAAACCGAGUCUUAACUGGGCGUUAAGUUGCAGGGUAUAGACCCGAAACCCGGUGAUCUAGCCAUGGGCAGGUUGAAGGUUGGGUAACACUAACUGGAGGACCGAACCGACUAAUGUUGAAAAAUUAGCGGAUGACUUGUGGCUGGGGGUGAAAGGCCAAUCAAACCGGGAGAUAGCUGGUUCUCCCCGAAAGCUAUUUAGGUAGCGCCUCGUGAACUCAUCUUCGGGGGUAGAGCACUGUUUCGGCUAGGGGGUCAUCCCGACUUACCAACCCGAUGCAAACUACGAAUACCGAAGAAUGUUAUCACGGGAGACACACGGCGGGUGCUAACGUCCGUCGUGAAGAGGGAAACAACCCAGACCGCCAGCUAAGGUCCCAAAGUCACAGUUAAGUGGGAAACGAUGUGGGAAGGCACAGACAGCCAGGAUGUUGGCUUAGAAGCAGCCAUCAUUUAAAGAAAGCGUAAUAGCUCACUGGUCGAGUCGGCCUGCGCGGAAGAUGUAACGGGGCUAAACUGUGCACCGAAGCUGCGGCAGCGACACUUAGGUGUUGUUGGGUAGGGGAGCGUUCUGUAAGCCUGCGAAGGUGGCCUGUGAGGGUUGCUGGAGGUAUCAGAAGUGCGAAUGCUGACAUAAGUAACGAUAAUGCGGGUGAAAAGCCCGCACGCCGGAAGACCAAGGGUUCCUGUCCAACGUUAAUCGGGGCAGGGUGAGUCGACCCCUAAGGCGAGGCCGAAAGGCGUAGUCGAUGGGAAACAGGUUAAUAUUCCUGUACUUGGUGUUACUGCGAAGGGGGGACGGAGAAGGCUAUGUUAGCCGGGCGACGGUUGUCCCGGUUUAAGCAUGUAGGCGGAGGUUCCAGGUAAAUCCGGUACCUUUUAACGCUGAGGUGUGAUGACGAGGCACUACGGUGCUGAAGUAACAAAUGCCCUGCUUCCAGGAAAAGCCUCUAAGCAUCAGGUAACAUUGAAUCGUACCCCAAACCGACACAGGUGGUCAGGUAGAGAAUACCAAGGCGCUUGAGAGAACUCGGGUGAAGGAACUAGGCAAAAUGGUGCCGUAACUUCGGGAGAAGGCACGCUGAUAUGUAGGUGAAGCCCCUGCGGGUGGAGCUGAAAUCAGUCGAAGAUACCAGCUGGCUGCAACUGUUUAUUAAAAACACAGCACUGUGCAAACACGAAAGUGGACGUAUACGGUGUGACGCCUGCCCGGUGCCGGAAGGUUAAUUGAUGGGGUUAUCCGUAAGGAGAAGCUCUUGAUCGAAGCCCCGGUAAACGGCGGCCGUAACUAUAACGGUCCUAAGGUAGCGAAAUUCCUUGUCGGGUAAGUUCCGACCUGCACGAAUGGCGUAAUGAUGGCCAGGCUGUCUCCACCCGAGACUCAGUGAAAUUGAACUCGCUGUGAAGAUGCAGUGUACCCGCGGCAAGACGGAAAGACCCCGUGAACCUUUACUAUAGCUUGACACUGAACAUUGAGCCUUGAUGUGUAGGAUAGGUGGGAGGCUUUGAAGCGUGGACGCCAGUCUGCGUGGAGCCAACCUUGAAAUACCACCCUUUAAUGUUUGAUGUUCUAACGUUGGCCCCUAAUCGGGGUUGCGGACAGUGUCUGGUGGGUAGUUUGACUGGGGCGGUCUCCUCCCAAAGAGUAACGGAGGAGCACGAAGGUUAGCUAAUCCUGGUCGGACAUCAGGAGGUUAGUGCAAUGGCAUAAGCUAGCUUGACUGCGAGCGUGACGGCGCGAGCAGGUGCGAAAGCAGGUCAUAGUGAUCCGGUGGUUCUGAAUGGAAGGGCCAUCGCUCAACGGAUAAAAGGUACUCCGGGGAUAACAGGCUGAUACCGCCCAAGAGUUCAUAUCGACGGCGGUGUUUGGCACCUCGAUGUCGGCUCAUCACAUCCUGGGGCUGAAGUAGGUCCCAAGGGUAUGGCUGUUCGCCAUUUAAAGUGGUACGCGAGCUGGGUUUAGAACGUCGUGAGACAGUUCGGUCCCUAUCUGCCGUGGGCGCUGGAGAAUUGAGGGGGGCUGCUCCUAGUACGAGAGGACCGGAGUGGACGCAUCACUGGUGUUCGGGUUGUCAUGCCAAUGGCAUUGCCCGGUAGCUAAAUGCGGAAGAGAUAAGUGCUGAAAGCAUCUAAGCACGAAACUUGCCCCGAGAUGAGUUCUCCCUGAGACUUUAAGUCUCCUGAAGGAACGUUAAAGACGAUGACGUUGAUAGGUCGGGUGUGUAAGCGUAGCGAUACGUUGAGCUAACCGAUACUAAUGAACCGUGAGGCUUAACCUU
Molecule: ribosomal RNA, 2905 nt
Filed under: Klebsiella aerogenes
Lineage: Bacteria; Pseudomonadati; Pseudomonadota; Gammaproteobacteria; Enterobacterales; Enterobacteriaceae
Description: 23S ribosomal RNA
Rfam family: Bacterial large subunit ribosomal RNA
Source: RNAcentral